CGAGAGCAAGCGGACCUCAUAAAGUGCGUCGUAGUCCGGAUUGGAGUCUGCAACUCGACUCCAUGAAGUCGGAAUCGCUAGUAAUCGUGGAUCAGAAUGCCACGGUGAAUACGUUCCCGGGCCUUGUACACACCGCCCGUCACACCAUGGGAGUGGGUUGCAAAAGAAGUAGGUAGCUUAACCUUCGGGAGGGCGCUUACCACUUUGUGAUUCAUGACUGGGGUGAAGUCGUAACAAGGUAACCGUAGGGGAACCUGCGGUUGGAUCACCUCCUUACCUGAAAGAA
RNAcentral lists this ribosomal RNA (286 nucleotides) under Salmonella enterica subsp. diarizonae. Its description in RNAcentral is "partial 16S ribosomal RNA". It matches the Rfam family "Bacterial small subunit ribosomal RNA", at positions 1258 to 1533 of the family's 1533-position model. The record is from RNAcentral. Lineage: Bacteria; Pseudomonadati; Pseudomonadota; Gammaproteobacteria; Enterobacterales; Enterobacteriaceae.